Molecule: ribosomal RNA, 460 nt
Filed under: uncultured bacterium
Lineage: Bacteria
Description: partial 16S ribosomal RNA
Rfam family: Bacterial small subunit ribosomal RNA
Source: RNAcentral
CCUACGGGUGGCAGCAGUGAGGAAUAUUGGUCAAUGGGCGUGCGCCUGAACCAGCCAAGUAGCGUGAAGGAUGACUGCCCUACGGGUUGUAAACCUCUUUUAUCAAGGAAUAAAGUGCGGCACGUGUGCCGUUUUGUAUGUUCUUUAUGAAUAAGGCUCGGCUAACUCCGUGACCGCAGCCGCGGUAAUACGGAGGAUCCGAGCGUUAUCCGGAAUUAUUGGGUUUAAAGGGAGCGUAGAUGGGUUGGUAAGUCAGGUGUGAAAGUUUGGGGCUCAACCGUAAAAUUGCCGUUGAUACUGGCAGUCUUGAGUACAGGUGAGGUAGGCGGAAUUCGUGGUGUAGCGGUGAAAUGCUUAGAUAUCACGAAGAACUCCGAUUGCGAAGGCAGCUUACUAAACUGCCACUGACAUUGAUGCUCGAAAGUGUGGGUAUCAAACAGGAUUAGAUACCCGAGUAGUC